This 30-nucleotide small RNA is filed under the name Bombyx mori (domestic silkworm). RNAcentral describes it as "ovarian small RNA-34212". The record is from RNAcentral. Lineage: Eukaryota; Metazoa; Arthropoda; Insecta; Lepidoptera; Bombycidae.
UGCUGAUCUGCUGCUUUGCAGCAGUUGCUU